GCAGAACUGUGUACAAUUGCAGAUCAAGACUCGAGGGUGAUGAGAGCAGUGCAAAGUUAUACAAAACUAGACUGGUGGUACAGACGCCUGCCACGGUAACGCGCUCCUCUAAACACUCACCUUCAUCUCCGCCGCUCCGAAUGUCACUACUGUCAAGCGGGACGUCACCUCGUAUUUAUAGCGAAGCCUUUCAUCUCUCGGCCCAUCCCACCCGUCUUGACCCUGCUCCUCCCCGCCCCAACACUCCUCCCUCCCAUGGUGACCCUGCCUCCCCCCCACCCAACCUUUCGGCACGCCAUGCAGACGCUUCAUGAAUGGGAGGCGUGGGGCGGGCGGGCUGGCUGGCGGGGUGAAGGAGGCCUGCUAGAAAAAGUGACAACACUCCCUGCGUGAACACCCAGCACCAAGAAUGUCGAGCCCUCCAGACAUGCACCGCUCACCUCACCACGCCUCGCCCUCAUGCCAGCCUUCAGGGUACUGCUGGUGAUGGAACGAAUAUCGGAACACAAGACCGUGACCAUAAAGCACCUCACUUGUGUAUGGCGCGUUGGAUGCACCAUAAGAAUAUGGCGGAUAAAUAUCCCCCUAACCCGUAAGUAAUGGAAGUAGCUCAAGUGCAACAGAAAAUAAAAAAGAGAACACUAAGUGCUGUUCCAGCAAGAAGUCUGCACAAGAGGCCACGGGGGAUACCUUGAGGUCAUGGGACCGUGUGAACUGCUUCUCACAGAGGUGGCACGGGUUUGUCCUGGAGGAGAGUACCUUGCCACACAUGGCACACUGACAAGGGUUGGGACCAAAGGUGUGUUUGUGGCGGAUGUGGACCUCCAUGUGGUUUUUAGUAGUGAAGAACUUCUGGCAGUGGUCACACUGAUAUGGCCGCCCAUUGUUG
Long non-coding RNA from Eriocheir sinensis (Chinese mitten crab), 889 nucleotides. RefSeq lists it as uncharacterized. The transcript has 5 exons. Lineage: Eukaryota; Metazoa; Arthropoda; Malacostraca; Decapoda; Varunidae. The record is from RefSeq and is a predicted model, not a curated record.